This is a long non-coding RNA of Megalobrama amblycephala (Wuchang bream), 451 nucleotides long. RefSeq lists it as uncharacterized. NCBI's taxonomy places the organism in Eukaryota, Metazoa, Chordata, Actinopteri, Cypriniformes, Xenocyprididae. The record is from RefSeq and is a predicted model, not a curated record. The transcript has 3 exons.
AAAUUAUCAGGAAAUUUUUAUUUGAAAGUGGACUAAUCCUUUAAGGAGCGGCUCCUUUAAGGCUUCUCAAUAAACGACCACUUUUAUGAUUGGCUAAUUUCAAACAGUAUCAACGGCCACUUGAUAUUGCAGGCCAGCAGUCUACUUUACAUCAUCAUGUCGAGCAGACUUCAUUUGACCAAGAGGUGGCAGUGUAGCUCUCGGGAUCCCACAUAGCAAACCCUUGUGUCACUGAGCCUCUCCUUUGUGUCUCUGAGAGAUUAAGCAGUUCGAUUGGUGGAAUGAUUUGAUUAAAGAAGACUCUUUGGAGUUAAAGUAGGGUUUUCAAAUCUGGACGUGGCUGUCAACAUUAGCUUGUGCUUUAAAUAAAGAGUGAAAAAAUAACUUUCACAUCAAAGUUGGCUAUUUUCAGUUAUUGUGAGCUUACCGUAUAUACAGGUUGAUUUCAAUG